UAGGGAAUUGAACCCAGGUCCUCUGCAACGAGUGCUGUUAGCCACUAGCCAUCUCUCCAGCCUUAGAAUCCAUACUAUCAGAUCUAUGCGGAACCCUCUUUGCUUGGCAAUCGAUUAACACACCUGUUUCUUGUGGACCGCCCAGGCAGCCCAGAGCUUAAAGAAGUGAGUAUGUGUGGUCGGCAGAGCGGGAACUUCCGGCACUGUUUAAACACCAAGGCUAUUUGAUAACGGUGAAAAAGGACCAGCUGCUGUAUGUCGACUGCUUAGGUUAGUCAAGGGAAAUAAGUCAACUAAAUGAAUUGCCAAUAUGCAGAAUAUUUUACACAAUUCGAGAAGGAGCUGGUGUCACCCAAUUCAGACUAAAUUUCAUUUCCCGAUAACUAUUUAAACAGUCUGGAUGUUAUUUAGUUUGGACAGGCGAAGGUGGGGGCGGGGGGCAUCAAAUUUACUAAAGGUCUAAAACUGGUUUUUAACAAAGAGGGGGAGAGAAAGCGAGAGCAUGGCGGACAGCCUCCGCUCACAUGGUUCAAUAGCAGCUCCCGGUGCAUGGUACUGGGAUACCAUGGAUACCGGGAGAGGGGUUGCGUGGUGAGCAUCCAAAGGGAAUGCAUGGUGCACCCGGAGGAGGGGUGCGCGGUAAGCACGGGAGGAGCCAGCACCAGUACCCGGUUUAGUUUUCAUGAUCCCCAUGAGAGGAUCCACUUUGGGAUUGGGUCCGGGGGCUCAGGAGGGUCAGGCUUGGAAAGGCCCCACAGAACCCUGUCCCGCUUCACUACGCCCCGGAGCCUACCUGGCGACCACCAAAUCCGGCUCGCAUUCCAGGACGCCUGCGCGGCCGGAAGCGGUCGGAGACGAGCGUGAGGCUGCCUCCUGGUGGCCGCCUCUUGCCUUACAGUGGACGCCCGCGCCAGCGUAGGCGCGGUCAUCCAUACCCUGGUCCUCAUUUCCUCUAGCCAAACUGGUGAAGGCCAGGCUGCAACAGCAAGGUUGAGCCUGGGACUGGGGACCUCAGAGGGGCUGCUUCCUGAUCUACAGCUCUACACUCUCUGCAAAGCGGUGGCUGCCAAAGAGUGAUCCUCAGAAAAGCAACACGAGCAAAUCGCAGAGUGAGGCUCAGUGCACUGAUAAUGCCUCUGGCUUUGAAAACUAUGUGACUUUGGAGCUUUGGCCUGAGACGCCAAGCUGCGCGUCACAGAUUUCAGGGCCAAACCUCAAGUCAUGCGAAGGCUGGAAGGUCUCAGCGUGCUACACUAGUAUUAGUACUGGAAGUGAAAUGGGAGGGGUAAGGUUGGGAAAUGGAAAAUCAGACAUAUCAUCUACUUCUAAACUGAUUUAUUUUCCAGAUUUGAAAUCAAAACAUACAGUGUGUGGGUAAAAACAAAAACCAUCUAUGUUUAUUAUCCAAACUCUAAGCAUGCUAAAGAACCCAGAAUCUUGAUCUAGGAAGCACUAGAGGAACCGACAAAACUCCCUUCAAAGAAUCCCUCCACCUGCACCACAGUAGCAUAUGUGACUGCCAACCAAAAACUGCAGGACCAGAACACAGUAAAGCCUUCCUUUCUACCCAGUGGAAAUGGACUCUGAGGAAGCCCAAACCAGCUCGCCCUGCCUCCCUCCCCAGGCCCAACCUGCUUCAUUGCUAUAGCACGAUUGUGGACGUAGGCAGAUUCUUGUCUGUGUGUGUUUUUAAAAUUAUUAUUUUUUUCUUAUUCUUAGGGAAUGAAUUAAGGUCAAAUCCUCCCCCAUUUCCCUUCUACACUCUCUUCCCAACAUGUCCCCUUCCCACCUCCAUGUCUCCCCGCCCUCCCCUUGGUGCUGCUCCUACUGGGGCUGCCCCUAUAUGGAACCUUCAGGGCCAGCAGGAUUCUGUAGAGAUUCUGUGUGAGUCCUCAGCUGCUUCACAGCAGUCCUGCCUUUGUUUUUCCGCACACAAGUCCCUUGUUCUAGUAUCAGAAACAGCCAGCGGGUAUGAGUGUGCACAUGCACGUACAGGUGUGUACACACCUAGAGAGGCCAUCUGAGCAUAGGAAACCUACCAAUGGCUUCACCUUCAGAAAGGAUUCUCGAUCCAGUGAUCGAGUGGCAGUCUUUUCUUGGUAAGGGGUUAGGGGAGAAAGCACUUCCCCAGGCUAUGCUGGAGUUUCAGCUGGCUCAAUGCUUUGCAGGUAAUCACAGUGGCUCUGAGUUUCUGAGCACAACAGCUGUGGCCCACCCCGUUCACAGCCAGCAUCCCACCGGCACUCGCUCCUCCUCGCCCUGUCCUCUGGCUCUUACAUCCAUCCUGCCUCCUCCUCCUGAGUCAGAUGCCUCACGUCGGGUUGAGCACCCAAUCCCUACUUCUCGGCGCUGUGCAUUUCUGUAGAUUGCUGCGCAGGUUCUUGACUGUCAAACUGGAAUCUGGGUCUCUGGCCAGAGAACUGACAUGGGCUCUCCGUGAAAACGAAAUGUUCUGUGUGUAGGGUGUGCUGGGACUUGCCUUUAAUCUCAGCACUCGGAGGCCGAUUGACCUGGACAUCACACACCUGAUUCCAACCACACAGGACACUUCGAGAACUAUGCUAAUGACGAGGGUUCUGCUCAUGACCAAAAUAAUGCUGAAGGACAUGCAAACUCUUGAAACAAACCUUAAAGUACAAAGUAUCUCAAAGGGGCGGAAAUGGCUGAGCUGUUGUGGGCACACACUGUUCUUAUGGUGGAUCUGAGGGACAAACACAGAAGUGAUGGCAGAGCAGAGGGUGCGGAGCAGCCUGAGGACAGACUAACAGAAGCAUCUCUGAAGGCAGGGUCUGGCUACCCAGUAGCCUCUGGAGCAUGGGAAUUAUAGCACAUAUCGCCAUGCCUGCUUGUUUUGGUCAAGGCAGAAUCUCACUUGGUCGCCCAGACCGCCACUGAACUUGUAAACCUCUGCGUGCAGGGAUCCUAGCUAUGUGCUACCAUGCUGGGCCCUAGAAACAAAGGUAAGUCGCUGACAGCAAUUUCUGAGGAUAAAUGUUCUUAGACUGGCGGGUUUUGUUUUUUUGAGACAAAGUCUUCCUAUGUGGCCUAGAGGACCCGGACUCUGAAAUGUAGACCAGGCUGGUCAUAAACUCACAAAGAUACACUUGACUCUGCCUCCUUGGAGGCGUACACCACUACAGUUGACUACUAGGCUGUGUUUUGUUGUUUCUACUUCAAUGCUGCUAAAAAAAAAAAUAAAAUAAAAAUGCUAUUUUCAAAUAUAGAACUAGAGAUUUGGGAGAUCUACAAGUGACAAACACUGACAUAAGAUGUAAAAACAAAAAUAAAAUGUUAAAAGUGACUUAAA
Mus musculus (house mouse) is the source of this 3307-nucleotide long non-coding RNA. RefSeq annotates it as predicted gene, 31402. The transcript is spliced from 2 exons. Lineage: Eukaryota; Metazoa; Chordata; Mammalia; Rodentia; Muridae. The record is from RefSeq and is a predicted model, not a curated record.